GAGACAAUAAACAGACACACCUGUAGUUGUUCCCAAACUUUAUUAUAGGGAAAAGUCACCUGGAGAACUUGUUUAAAUUGUGGAUUCUCCCAAAACCACCCCACCCUAGCCCCAGAAGAUCAGAUUCAGUUGAUCUGGAUGAGCCUAGGGCUCUACAUUUGCCACAAUCUCCGCAGUGAUCCUGAGGGAGGAGAAACCCCAGGGAAAAUAUGGCUAAUGAGGAUGAAAAAACAGACAAGAGGUGGAACUUCAAUGAAGAGGAAAACUCUUCCUAGCCUUGGUCGAGAGCGAGCACACUAAAACUCUGCCCUGAAAGAGGUGCAUGACAUCUAGUUUGAAUAGAAGACUCCUGAAUUAUAACUCUUUUUCUUUCUGUAAUUCAUAGAUAUUAUUCCAGUCUUCUGCAUUCUAGUGUUGCAGAUGCUCUUUAUUUAGAUGAGGAAGCUACCUUCUGUUUGCUGAAUGUAUUAUUAUAAAUCUCCAAGUGUUUCUUGAACUCAUGGGGGAAACCCCCUCACUAGUAGUCUCUGCUGGUGCUUCUACAGAACUGAA
Homo sapiens (human) is the source of this 552-nucleotide long non-coding RNA. RefSeq lists it as uncharacterized. Lineage: Eukaryota; Metazoa; Chordata; Mammalia; Primates; Hominidae. The transcript is spliced from 4 exons. The record is from RefSeq and is a predicted model, not a curated record.